Molecule: ribosomal RNA, 404 nt
Filed under: uncultured bacterium
Lineage: Bacteria
Description: bacterial SSU rRNA
Rfam family: Bacterial small subunit ribosomal RNA
Source: RNAcentral
GACGAACGCUGGCGGCGCGCCUAACACAUGCAAGUCGAACGGAGAUUGAGGAGAGCUUGCUCUUCGAUAUCUUAGUGGCGGACGGGUGAGUAACACGUGAGCAACCUGCCUUACAGAGGGGAAUAACGUUUGGAAACGAACGCUAAUACCGCAUAACGUUACGAGAGGGCAUCCUCUUGUGACCAAAGAUUUUAUCGCUGUAAGAUGGGCUCGCGGCCGAUUAGCUAGUUGGUGGGGUAACGGCCCACCGAGGCGACGAUCAGUAGCCGGUCUGAGAGGAUGAACGGCCACAUUGGGACUGAGAUACGGCCCAGACUCCUACGGGAGGCAGCAGUGGGGAAUAUUGGGCAAUGGGGGAAACCCUGACCCAGCAACGCCGCGUGAAGGAAGAAGGCCUUCGGGUU